RNAcentral lists this ribosomal RNA (253 nucleotides) under uncultured bacterium. RNAcentral describes it as "partial 16S ribosomal RNA". It matches the Rfam family "Bacterial small subunit ribosomal RNA", at positions 524 to 776 of the family's 1533-position model. The record is from RNAcentral.
UACGGAGGGUCCAAGCGUUAUCCGGAAUCAUUGGGUUUAAAGGGUCCGUAGGCGGUUUUGUAAGUCAGUGGUGAAAGCCCAUCGCUCAACGGUGGAACGGCCAUUGAUACUGCAAGACUUGAAUUAUUAGGAAGUAACUAGAAUAUGUAGUGUAGCGGUGAAAUGCUUAGAGAUUACAUGGAAUACCAAUUGCGAAGGCAGGUUACUACUAAUGGAUUGACGCUGAGGUGCGAAAGCGUGGGGAGCAAACAGG